AGGACGAACGCUGGCGGCGUGCUUAACACAUGCAAGUCGAGCGGUAAGGCCUUUCGGGGUACACGAGCGGCGAACGGGUGAGUAACACGUGGGUGAUCUGCCCUGCACUUCGGGAUAAGCCUGGGAAACUGGGUCUAAUACCGGAUAUGACCUCCUAUCGCAUGGUGGGUGGUGGAAAGAUUUAUCGGUGCAGGAUGGGCCCGCGGCCUAUCAGCUUGUUGGUGGGUAAUGGCCUACAAGGCGACGACGGGUAGCCGACCUGAGAGGGUGACCGGCCACACUGGGACUGAGACGACGGCCCAGACUCCGUACGGGAGGCAGCAGGUGGGGAAUAGUGCACAAGUGGGACGUAAAGCCUAGAGUACGACGAAGGCCGGAACCGGCCCGGU
RNAcentral lists this ribosomal RNA (389 nucleotides) under uncultured soil bacterium. RNAcentral's name for it is "bacterial SSU rRNA". It matches the Rfam family "Bacterial small subunit ribosomal RNA", at positions 26 to 428 of the family's 1533-position model. The record is from RNAcentral.